Molecule: long non-coding RNA, 986 nt
Organism: Acinonyx jubatus (cheetah)
Lineage: Eukaryota; Metazoa; Chordata; Mammalia; Carnivora; Felidae
Exons: 2
Source: RefSeq, a predicted model, not a curated record
GCGUGGCUAUUGCUUGGAUCACAGAGUAAGCGCUCCUGGGAAAGGCGAUAGGCUUCCCGGACACUGAAGGCACCUCAUUGGAGACAGAAAACCCCGCCUCCUCUCCACAGUCAAUACUUCAGUGGCAGCUCAAACUUCUGAACUCCAGCAAAGCUACGGAAAUGCAAGUCUGUGCAGAAUACAGACUUCUGGAAAUUUAAAAAAGAAGAAGAAGAAGAAUUGAUGAUUUAUCAUCAGACCACACUUAGGAAGCUUUCAACAAAGGUGAAAUGCAGCCAUUCUUGCACCUGUUGCUGUCUCUGCUGUCUUCCACCAGCAGUCAGAGUGCGGGGUGAGACCAAGGACCCUCUUUCUGCCUCCCCACUGGCAGCCCCUGGGGUCAUUCCUCUCCAGCUUUGAAACAUCAUGCUAUCGUGAAGAACCAUCAUCUGAGAGCUAUGUUAACAGCAUUUGGCUGCAGGCUGUAGCCUGGAGACUCAUAAAACCAUUAAUUAUGACAAGCAAAAUAUCUAGGGCCACGUGUUGGAAUGCACUGGGUGCAGCAUUUCACCCAAAGCCAACAUAAUUCCAUGGUCCCAGGGCACUAAAAGUCCCUAUCACUUUGCAUCACAGAGACUUGGGUCAGGCAUCCCCUCCCCCAAGUGUUAUUCCCAGUAAGCUAAUAAGCAACAAGUAGAGGCCUGGGUCCAUCUCACUUUCCUUUACUGGGCACUGAGGAAACAUAUUAAAACUAAUACCUUGCAACAGAAAAUAAACUUUGAUUAAAAAAUGUAGGGGCGCCUGGGUGGCUCAGUCGGUUAAGUGGCCGACUUCGGGUCAGGUCAUGAUCUCGCGGUCCGUGGGUUCGAGCCCCGCGUCGGGCUCUGUGCGGACAGCUCAGAGCCUGGAGCCUGUUUCAGAUUCUGUGUCUCCCUCUCUCGGACCCUCCCCCGUUCAUGCUCUGUCUCUCUCUGUCUCAAAAAUAAAUAAAUGUUAAAAAAAAAAUU